RNAcentral lists this ribosomal RNA (427 nucleotides) under uncultured prokaryote. RNAcentral's name for it is "bacterial SSU rRNA". It matches the Rfam family "Bacterial small subunit ribosomal RNA", at positions 355 to 796 of the family's 1533-position model. The record is from RNAcentral.
UUAGGAAUAUUGGACAAUGGGCGCAAGCCUGAUCCAGCCAUGCCGCGUGAGUGAUGAAGGCCUUCGGGUUGUAAAGCUCUUUUCUUAGGGAAGAAGAAAGUGACGGUACCUAAGGAAUCAGCAUCGGCUAACUCCGUGCCAGCAGCCGCGGUAAUACGGAGGAUGCAAGCGUUAUCCGGAAUUAUUGGGCGUAAAGCGUCCGCAGGUGGCACUUCAAGUCUGCUGUCAAAGACCAGAGCUCAACUCUGGGCAGGCGGUGGAAACUGGGGAGCUAGAGUACGGUAGGGGUAGAGGGAAUUUCCAGUGUAGCGGUGAAAUGCGUAGAGAUUGGAAAGAACACCAGUGGCGAAGGCGCUCUACUGGACCUGUACUGACACUAAGGGACGAAAGCUAGGGGAGCGAAAGGGAUUAGAUACCCCCGUAGUCC